Molecule: ribosomal RNA, 253 nt
Filed under: uncultured bacterium
Lineage: Bacteria
Description: partial 16S ribosomal RNA
Rfam family: Bacterial small subunit ribosomal RNA
Source: RNAcentral
GACGAAGGGGGCUAGCGUUGUUCGGAAUUACUGGGCGUAAAGCGAGUGUAGGCGGUUGCCCAAGGCAGGUGUGAAAGCCUUGAGCUCAACUCAAGAAAUGCACUUGGUACUGGGUGGCUAGAGGACCGGAGAGGAUAGUGGAAUUCCCAGUGUAGUGGUGAAAUACGUAGAGAUUGGGAAGAACACCAGUGGCGAAGGCGGCUAUCUGGACGGUUACUGACGCUAAGACUCGAAAGCGUGGGGAGCAAACAGG